This 492-nucleotide ribosomal RNA is filed under the name uncultured bacterium. RNAcentral's name for it is "partial 16S ribosomal RNA". It matches the Rfam family "Bacterial small subunit ribosomal RNA", at positions 29 to 507 of the family's 1533-position model. The record is from RNAcentral.
AGUGAACGCUGGCGGUAGGCCUAACACAUGCAAGUCGAACGGCAGCACAGUAAGAGCUUGCUCUUACGGGUGGCGAGUGGCGGACGGGUGAGGAAUACAUCGGAAUCUACUUUUUCGUGGGGGAUAACGUAGGGAAACUUACGCUAAUACCGCAUACGACCUACGGGUGAAAGCAGGGGAUCUUCGGACCUUGCGCGAUUGAAUGAGCCGAUGUCGGAUUAGCUAGUUGGCGGGGUAAAGGCCCACCAAGGCGACGAUCCGUAGCUGGUCUGAGAGGAUGAUCAGCCACACUGGAACUGAGACACGGUCCAGACUCCUACGGGAGGCAGCAGUGGGGAAUAUUGGACAAUGGGCGCAGGCCUGAUCCAGCCAUACCGCGUGGGUGAAGAAGGCCUUCGGGUUGUAAAGCCCUUUUGUUGGGAAAGAAAAGCAGCAGGUUAAUACCGCGCUGUUCUGACGGUACCCAAAGAAUAAGCACCGGCUAACUUCGUG